Molecule: long non-coding RNA, 1783 nt
Organism: Oreochromis niloticus (Nile tilapia)
Lineage: Eukaryota; Metazoa; Chordata; Actinopteri; Cichliformes; Cichlidae
Exons: 3
Source: RefSeq, a predicted model, not a curated record
CCCAAAGAGUAUGUUUAACACCCCUACUGGUUAGGAAGGAACAAGCCCCGCCUUCCCCUGCUCUGUACCGUCACGUGCUCAGACACAGAGAGAGACGGAGGUGCACGAGACCAUCGCUGAUUUUCACCGCCAAGCUUGUUGCUGGAAAAUAACCAUAAACUUGAUAAAUUGAGCAAAUAUCCAUACCGGAGAUCUGCAUGGACCUUGGAGAACCGGACCUGAUUUGUUGUGAACAUUUUGGACUUUGAAACCAUCGCGAUCUGCACGGGUGCGGAUGAAGCGGACAAGAUCCUCUCUGAGAGUUGAACAUUAGAAGUGUGCUGGCUAGGGUUUUUUUUGUGGGAUCGUGAGACCUGGAUUUCUUCCUGACGAGGAAGAUGGCGAGCCUUUCCCUUUGAACCGAACCACAGCCAUUCCGAGUUGGCCCAGAAGGGCAGGUUGCUCUUCUUUCACGAACAAUUGCAACAGUGCCGUAGGACGAAAUCGCACCAAUCACAGACUUUUGACCUAUUGGAUUUGACUUGACUGAACACUGACUAUUAAGCCGGCAAGACUGACAUAUCUGAGCUCAGAUAAGAUUCUGGUUACUAUUAUUAUUGCUGUCAUUGUAUUUUAUUUUAUGUUUUCAUUCCUGUUUAUGAUGUGCUGUUAAAUUGUUUCUAAAUAGUUCAAUACAAUUCAAAGCAACUUUAUCUGUGGCUCCACUCAUUCUUCUCCACGCAACUCACUUUAUCCCUCCUACGAAUCUAGCUAUUGGCCCAUUCUCUCCAUCUUGCUUUAACUUCCCCUACCCUAUCCUAUACUUGGCUACAUGAACACUAGAGACUCAUAUGUCAGAGUGCUGUUCAUAGACUUCAGUUCAGCCUUCAGCAUCAUCAUUCCCCAGCAACUCAUUCACAAACUGGAUCUGCUGGGGAUCAGCACCUUGCUGUAUAACUGGCUGCUAGAUUUCUUGACAGGAAGACCGCAGAUAGUACGCUCGACAGCAACACCUCCAGCCCAAGAACACUGAAUACGGGGCUCCCCAAGGAUGUGUGUUGAGCCCCCUUCUCUUCACUCUGCUGACCCACGACGAGAUCUACUACAGGGGUGAAGUUACCAUCUGGCAGAGUGGUACAGCAACAACAACCUGUCCCUGAAUGUGGAGAAGACCAACAGCGACUCUACUUCCUCUGCGAACUGAGAAGCACAAGAGAUUCAACCCCCAUGAGCACCUUCUACAGAGGCACAGUUGAGAGUAUCCUCACCAGCUGCAUCACUGUGUGGUAUGACUCCUGCACUGGGUUCUGCAGGAAAAAAUGACAAUGGGUAGUGAGAGCAGCUGCACCUGCCUCAUCUGGAACGUCCUCUCCAUUACAGGUGACUCCACUCAUCCCUUCAGCAGCGUCUUCAGUUUGCUGCCAUCAGGAAGGAUACUGAAGAGCCUCCGGGCCAGAACACAUAGACUGAGAGACAGCUUCGUCCAUCGGGCUGUCAGGAUGCUGACCAUCUCUGACUCGAGAAGGGGGGCCCAAGGGUACAUCUUUCGCCAUCCUACAAUGCUGUGAUUGUAGCCAUUCCCCACUUUCUGUGAAUGGUACUCAUGGCCAUUGAUCAGUAGGCUUUGAUUAGUUGUCAUUGAUCAAUGGUCAUAAGAAUUUGCAUACUAACAAUCAUGGAACUAACCCCCCAGCACAUUGUUCAUUCAGUGGUGCUAGUUUCCUUCACUAUGCAAAUGUACUGUUUAUAAGGUUGGGGAAACCUGCAGUCAGCUGAGACUGAAGAAGUCACUUGGAUGAGUGAC